This 244-nucleotide ribosomal RNA is filed under the name uncultured bacterium. RNAcentral describes it as "partial 16S ribosomal RNA". It matches the Rfam family "Bacterial small subunit ribosomal RNA", at positions 57 to 305 of the family's 1533-position model. The record is from RNAcentral.
GCAAGUCGAGCGGUAACAGAUCCAGCUUGCUGGAUGCUGACGAGCGGCGGACGGGUGAGUAAUGCAUAGGAAUCUGCCCGAUAGUGGGGGAUAACCUGGGGAAACCCAGGCUAAUACCGCAUACGUCCUACGGGAGAAAGGGGGCUCCGGCUCCCGCUAUGGGAUGAGCCUAUGUCGGAUUAGCUAGUUGGUGAGGUAACGGCUUACCAAGGCCACGAUCCGUAGCUGGUCUUAGAGGAUGACC